This is a long non-coding RNA of Dromaius novaehollandiae (emu), 3360 nucleotides long. RefSeq lists it as uncharacterized. The transcript has 3 exons. Lineage: Eukaryota; Metazoa; Chordata; Aves; Casuariiformes; Dromaiidae. The record is from RefSeq and is a predicted model, not a curated record.
CGGGGGAGCGGACAGGAGCUGCCUGGACAGCGUGCGUGGUUGCCCUGCUAAUGUGAACAGGGAAUGGUGUUGCUUCUGGAGUAUCUAGUCAGGAACCUACUAUUGUAGGUUUAGAAGUGCACCAAUUACUAUGUUUCCAACCCGAUGAUUCAUUGUUUCAUAUCCAGGUGCCAAAAAGCUGUGAUGGUUAUCAAGAUGAAGCUAUAUGAAUGAUCUGUGCUAAAAAACCCCCAUGUUCCUAAAUGAAAAAUCAGAAUGUUGCUUUUCCCUUAGCGAUAUCAUAGGGAAAACUGGAAUUCUGUUUGGUCUGUUGAAAACUGUCAUAAAUUUGUAGGGCUCAGUGCAAGUUCAUGGAUUCCUCACAGUCACAAAUAAAAGACUACUAUAUUUUAUUAUAUAUUGUAGCUGCUUUAAAUUCACAGUCUGGGUUUAAAACUAUGCAAGCUGUCUAUUCACUUAGUUUUCUAAAUGAGGCAGAAAUUGCUUAAAGGCGAAUCCAGGAAGUAGACUCAGCAUGUAGUCAACAGAAGUCCAUGUGUUACAAUAUUAACAUUUUAAUGUUCAUGGUUUUUGGAUUUGUGUGUUAUUGUUUUGCAUAGAUCAUGGCUUGGGGGGGUGUCUGGGGACUGGUGAAAUGUGAGGAAGAGCUAAAUAACGUGAGGCCUCCUGGCUGAUCCUGUUACAUUUCCAGCUGAGGAAGCUUGGACCUCUGAGCCCAGCUCAAUGCAGCAAAGUGAACAUAGGCAGAUUCCUUCAAGUGUUUUUUUGUAGUGUUGUUUGCUAGCCUUCAUGCUUUGACAACUUGCUGUCUAUGAAAUUAGCCGCUGUUCAAGCAUCUAAAAGAUUGACAUCAAUUGUGCAGUCAGGCAAAAGACGGAUCUGUUAUAGUUACAGUUUGGCAGAGAUUAUGGUCAGAGAUAAAGAUAACUAUUUAUAUAGCCUGUAAUCUCAAUAGUAUGCAUUGGUUAGCUGCCAUCUUUGGCUACUUUUUUUGUCAGUACUUCAGUGAAGUUACUGGCAAACCUGUGUCUUGAAAAUUUAAGUUGGAUUAACAGCAUUAAUUUUAUUUUAGCUGCUGUAGCUUUAGGAGGCAUUCUUAUCCUCCUCAGUACUCCUUUCAGAGCACUCUCCUUAAAUACUUCUGGUUCUUCUCAGAAGUCUUACUUUUGUUUAAAAUACAUAAAUAAAGUCUGCUGCUUACUGCUGCAGUUGUGGGGAAAAGCUUGAAAGAAUAGUACAUGUUUGCCAGAGUUGUUGGAUUGCAGAAAUGGCUCUUUAUGAGCAGGUAUCUCCUCUCCGAUGCUCAUCUGUCCGUGGUGGGUCUCUAAUGGUUGACGACAACUUGUUUUUAUCAUCCAUGCAGCGUGUGAAAGGAUGAGGGAUGAUACUGUGAAAAGCUAUGGAAGUGCCUCCGACAGGCUGAAGAGCGGACAUGAGAACUGUAGUUGCAGCGGACUUGGAGCCGUGUUGACAAGACACGCGCAUGCAGAUGAGGGAGACCCCCAGAGACUGGUGGGCUGUUGGGAGGCAUGGUUAGCUUCAUUUUCAUAAAGCAAAGCAUGCCGGUACUCGGGGGAGUUUUGGACUAGAGAGGGCCUUUAGAUGUUUUCAUAUCAGUUCAUUGAUAUAGAAAAAAGGUUAGCUUCCGCUUUGAUUUACCUAUGGAGAGCUCUUUGUAGUGUUGUUUUGUUAGGAACUCGCUUUUUAGGGGAGAUGAAUCCAACCAUACCCUGCGGUGGUCAGGCUGCAAUUGUAAUUCACAGAGAUCUAGUUGAUGGAGCAAUUAAUAUGAUGAAACGUGAGUGGGUUUUUGUUCUGUUGUAGCAAUAAAAGAUCCUGCACUCUGAACUGUAAAUAUUGUUAAAUUGUAUUUGCGUUGCCUUUGGGAAAAAACAACAAAGUUUGGACCUUUCACCGUAAUUUUGUUCUUUGUGUACAUAGGAAGGGAUGUGUGUGGUUUUUUUUUUUUUUUAAACUUUGAAGAAUUUCACUAGUAGUCUGUUAUCUUGUGCUUUCCAUCAUGCUGACAGUACUGUCUCUGUAUUUCCGAAGGUCAUCUGUACUGGAAGGUCAGUACCGGGGGAAAGGGUUAUAUUUUCUGUAGAAACUGUUACGGUCUCAUGGCAUCCAUCCCAUCUGAUGCUUGUCUUAAGUGUGAGAUUGGCUCUCUGCUUUGUGCUUCUGGAUGGGCAGAAAAUGCGAAGUCCUUAAAGGCUUUCCUAUUUUGUGUAGUGGACUUUAUUAAAGAAUUCUUCCUCCUGUUCUUAUACAAAGUCAUACUUCCUUAACUGAAAGAAGACAAAGUUAUUUUUGUUUGCUUGCUAUUAAAUGUGUAGAAUUGCUCCAUUCCUUUGGGUGCAUGAGAAAAAUAUUACACUGGCAUUUUUAUACUUGGGGUGCUAUGGCAUUUGUUGGCUGGCAGGAGAUACCAACGACCUGCAGUACCCUAAGCAAGUCAAGACUGCCUUGAAAGUUUGAGUGCCUGUCUACUUUCUGCUCUUGGUCCUCUGUCUUAUCAAGUAGGAGGUGUGUGGUCAGUGGUAUCUGCCAGAACGGUCUAUGCCCCCAGGCAUGACUUAUGUUAGAGACAGGACUUUUUCUUGAGCCCCUCCUCUGGAUCUUUUUUCUUGCCUACGAUGGCAAGCUGCAUAUUGCAGUUGAACCCUGGGAUUACCGUAUAUUUAUCAUGUAUCGGUGGUCCCACGCUUAGAAUUUGCAGGGUUUGCAGGUAUACAUAUAGUGAUCUCUUUAUUAGCUUCUGUUUUUCUGCAUUUGACUUGCCUUGCUUGGAUAGCAAUGUUGUUGCAGCAGCUUGAGGAUGAGCCUGCGCCUGUAGCUCAGACUGAUCUAACGGUAUCUUGGUGCUGCUGCGAGAAUGAGGCCCUUCUUCCCCUUUCCGCUCUCCGAUGUGUGCACACAUGCCCUCCUCCUUUACCUCUGCCCUUUGCGCUGGAGCUCUGGCUCCUGACCAGCUUGCCUCAGUGCGCUCGAUUUGUUUCUGCUGCACUUGUUUUCUGCCAGGUUAGUGGGUGGCAUGUGCUCGGGGAAGCUUCAGGCAGCCCCAGGGCUGGGGCAGACCAAGGGAGGGCCUUCUGCAGCUGGGAAAGCAGGAGCAGACCUCCCUCAUUUGACUAGUUGUCUGUUAGCUCUGCUGUGCCACGUAGUGUCACCUGGAGUUUCCGCAAUCCACUCCAACCUGGGAUAGUGUCUCUCAGCAGCCACCAGUUUUGUUCAUGCUGCUUGUGGUGGAUCUCACCGGCGUGCAUCCAUGGGGUGAGGGGAUCCCGUGAGCUUAUACGGGAAGGAAAAAGGGAAGUGUGGGAACAUGAAGUACUAAUAAAUAAAUGACCAAAAAAUGCC